This 1311-nucleotide ribosomal RNA is filed under the name uncultured spirochete. RNAcentral's name for it is "bacterial SSU rRNA". It matches the Rfam family "Bacterial small subunit ribosomal RNA", at positions 43 to 1379 of the family's 1533-position model. Lineage: Bacteria; Pseudomonadati; Spirochaetota; Spirochaetia; Spirochaetales. The record is from RNAcentral.
CGCGUUUUAAGCAUGCAAGUCGAACGAGAAGUUUCCUUCGGGGAAUGGACAGUGGCGAACUGGUGAGUAACACGUGGUUAACCUGCCCUUGAGAAGAGAAUAGCAUCUGGAAACAGGUGGUAAUACUCUAUGGUCUUCUUUUACAUAAGUAAUUUAAGUAAAGCCCCGGCGCUCAAGGAUGGGACUGCGACGCAUUAGCUUGUUGGUGGGGUAAUGGCCUACCAAGGCGACGAUGCGUACCGGCCUGAGAGGGUGAUCGGCCACAUUGGGACUGAGAUACGGCCCAGACUCCUACGGGAGGCAGCAGCUAAGAAUAUUCCGCAAUGGACGCAAGUCUGACGGAGCGACGCCGCGUGAAGGAUGAAGGCCCUCGGGUUGUAAACUUCUUUUAUAUGUGACGAAUGACUGACGGUAGCAUAUGAAUAAGCCUCGGCUAAUUCCGUGCCAGCAGCCGCGGUAAUACGGAAGAGGCAAACGUUACUCGGAUUCACUGGGCGUAAAGGGUGAGUAGGCGGAAGCGUAAGUUUGAGGUGAAAGACUGGAGCUCAACUCCAGGCCCGCCUCAGAUACUGCGUUUCUCGAGCAAGAUAGAGGAUAAUGGAAUUCCUGGUGUAAGGGUGGAAUCUGUAGAUAUCAGGAAGAACACCGAUGGCGAAGGCAAUUAUCUGGGUCUUAGCUGACGCUGAAUCACGAAAGCUAGGGGAGCGAACGGGAUUAGAUACCCCGGUAGUCCUAGCCGUAAACGUUGCACACUAGGUGUUUGUAGUUCGCUACAAGUGUCGUAGCCAACGUGUUAAGUGUGCCGCCUGGGGAGUAUGCUCGCAAGGGUGAAACUCAAAGGAAUUGACGGGGGCCCGCACAAGCGGUGGAGCAUGUGGUUUAAUUCGAUGAUACGCGAAGAACCUUACCUGGGCUUGAAAUGGAAGCGGAAUGGUGCAGAGAUGUAUCAGCCCGCAAGGGUCGCUUUCACAGGUGCUGCAUGGSCUGUCGUCAGCUCGUGUCGUGAGAUGUUGGGUUAAGUCCCGCAACGAGCGCAACCCCUACUUGCUGUUGCCAUCAUUUAGUUGGGCACUCUGCAAGAACCGCCUGCGACAAGCAGGAGGAAGGUGGGGAUGAUGUCAAGUCCUCAUGGCCCUUAUGUCCAGGGCUACACACGUGCUACAAUGGCUGGUACAAAGAGUCGCGAUACCGCGAGGUGGAGCUAAUCUCAAAAAGCCAGCCCCAGUUCGAAUCGGAGUCUGAAACUCGACUCCGUGAAGUCGGAAUCGCUAGUAAUCGCAGAUCAGCAUGCUGCGGUGAAUACGUCCCGGC